AAUCAAGUGUAAGAAGGGCAUUCGGUGGAUGCCUUGGCGACAAGAGGCGAUGAAGGACGUGAUACGCUGCGAUAAGCGUCGGGGAGCUGCGAAUAAGCUUUGAUCCGGCGAUUUCCGAAUGGGGCAACCCACUCCGUAUGGAGUAUCCCGCAAGGGAAGCAAACCCGGGGAACUGAAACAUCUAAGUACCCGGAGGAAAGGACAUCAACCGAGACUCCGCUAGUAGUGGCGAGCGAACGCGGACCAGGCCAGUGGUCUACAUUUAAGAACCGGAACGCUCUGGAAAGUGCGGCCUCAGCGGGUGAUAGCCCCGUACGGGUAGAAAGAGUGUAGAUCCUCGAGUAGGGCGGGACACGUGAAAUCCUGUCUGAACAUGGGGGGACCACCCUCCAAGCCUAAGUACUCCUUGUCGACCGAUAGCGAACAAGUACCGUGAGGGAAAGGUGAAAAGCACCCCGACGAGGGGAGUGAAACAGAUCCUGAAACCGGAUGCCUACAAACAGUUGGAGCCCAAGGUUCGUCCUGGGUGACAGCGUACCUUUUGUAUAAUGGGUCAGCGACUUAAUUUAACGAGCAAGCUUAAGCCGGUAGGUGUAGGCGUAGCGAAAGCGAGUCUGAAUAGGGCGAUUUAGUUCGUUGGAUUAGACCCGAAACCGGGUGAUCUAGCCAUGACCAGGUUGAAGGUGCGGUAACACGCACUGGAGGACCGAACCCACGCCUGUUGAAAAAGUCGGGGAUGAGUUGUGGCUAGGGGUGAAAGGCCAAUCAAACUCGGAAAUAGCUGGUUCUCCGCGAAAUCUAUUUAGGUAGAGCGUCGGCCGAAUACUCUCGGGGGUAGAGCACUGGAUGGGCUAUGGGGGCUUACCGCCUUACUGAUCCUAACCAAACUCCGAAUACCGAGAAGUACUAGCCGGCAGACACACAGUGGGUGCUAACGUCCAUUGUGAAGAGGGAAACAACCCUGACCGCCAGUUAAGGUCCCUAAGUUAUGGCUAAGUGGGAAAGGAUGUAGAACUCCCAAAACAACCAGGAUGUUGGCUUAGAAGCAGCCAUCAUUUAAAGAAAGCGUAACAGCUCACUGGUCUAAAUAAGGGGUUCCGCGCCGAAAAUGUACCGGGGCUCAAGCCAUACACCGAAACUGCGGGUGCAUCUUCGGAUGCGCGGUAGCGGAGCGUUCUGUAAGUCUGCGAAGGGAGACCCGUGAGGGCUCCUGGAGAUAUCAGAAGUGCGAAUGCUGACAUGAGUAACGAUAAAGGGUGUGAGAGACACCCUCGCCGAAAGUCCAAGGGUUCCUGCUCAACGUUAAUCGGAGCAGGGUUAGCCGGCCCCUAAGGCGAGGCCGAAAGGCGUAGUCGAUGGGAAUGCAGUUAAUAUUCUGCAGCUUGUGGGUAGUGACGGAUGCCGUGUGUUGUAUCCCCUUACUGGAUUGGGGGUGCAGCGAAGGUGUUCCAGGAAAUAGCUCCCACGUAUAAACCGUACCCGAAACCGACACAGGUGGACUGGUAGAGCAUACCAAGGCGCUUGAGAGAACUGUGCUGAAGGAACUCGGCAAAUUGCUCCCGUAAGUUCGCGAGAAGGGAGACCUCAUAGUGGGCAACCAUUGUGGGGUGGCACAGACCAGGGGGUGGCGACUGUUUAUCAAAAACACAGGGCUCUGCGAAGUCGCAAGACGACGUAUAGGGUCUGACGCCUGCCCGGUGCCGGAAGGUUAAGAGGAGGUGUGCAAGCUCCGAAUUGAAGCCCCGGUAAACGGCGGCCGUAACUAUAACGGUCCUAAGGUAGCGAAAUUCCUUGUCGGGUAAGUUCCGACCUGCACGAAUGGCGUAAC
RNAcentral lists this ribosomal RNA (1828 nucleotides) under Gammaproteobacteria bacterium. RNAcentral describes it as "partial 23S ribosomal RNA". It matches the Rfam family "Bacterial large subunit ribosomal RNA", at positions 1 to 2005 of the family's 2925-position model. Lineage: Bacteria; Pseudomonadati; Pseudomonadota; Gammaproteobacteria. The record is from RNAcentral.